AGAUUGAACGCUGGCGGCAUGCUUUACACAUGCAAGUCGAACGGGGUGGUGGGGCAACCCGCCAUUCAGUGGCGAACGGGUGAGUAAUACAUCGGAACGUGUCCCGUAGUGGGGGAUAACCCGGCGAAAGCCGGACUAAUACCGCAUAUGCUCUACGGAGGAAAGCGGGGGACCUGAAAGGGCCUCGCGCUAUGGGAGCGGCCGAUGUCCGAUUAGCUUGUUGGUGGGGUAAUGGCCUACCAAGGCGACGAUCGGUAGCUGGUCUGAGAGGAUGAUCAGCCACACUGGGACUGAGACACGGCCCAGACUCCUACGGGAGGCAGCAGUGGGGAAUUUGGACAAUGGGGGCAACCCUGAUCCAGCCAUGCCGCGUGCGGAGAAGGCCUCGGUUGUAACCGCUUUUAGCCGGAAGAAAGGCACGGUGAAUACCCGUGUCUUGACGUACCGGCGGAAUAGCACCGGCUAACUACGUGCCAGCAGCCGC
Molecule: ribosomal RNA, 484 nt
Filed under: uncultured soil bacterium
Lineage: Bacteria
Description: bacterial SSU rRNA
Rfam family: Bacterial small subunit ribosomal RNA
Source: RNAcentral